This 899-nucleotide long non-coding RNA is filed under the name Homo sapiens (human). Its description in RNAcentral is "HSALNT0300299". Lineage: Eukaryota; Metazoa; Chordata; Mammalia; Primates; Hominidae. The record is from RNAcentral.
AAUGCACCAUUUUCGACUGAGAACAUCAAGAGGCCAGAAACUUCCAAGUCAGCUUGCAGACGCAGACGCCUCCUGGGGUCCUGGCUUUAAGAACCAGAUGCCAACACUCCCGGACAGUUUAUGGCAUCCGGAUCCCUCAAGGGUGCUCAUCUGCAGUUGAGAGUCUAAUAAAUGGCAUUAACAAAGCGUUUCAGCGACUACCACGGCUUCACAGUGGCUCCUCCCCUGCCCUGCCACCAUUCAGGCUGUAAUUCCUUCCAGGAUUCCCGCACCAUCCUGUGUGCCCAGAGCUCUCUAGAGCACCAGUCACCAUGUAACAAAUGCAGACAUCUCUGAGAUCACCAUGCAGUGAGGAAGUCUAAGCUGGUGGCAUGAAGAGGCCACAUGGAAAGGGCUAAAAAAGGGGCCAGCCUCAGUCAUCCCAGCUGAGCACCUGGCUGGGAAUAAAAGAGGACUCCGUGGAUGUCCAGCCCAGUAAGAUGACCUCAGCCCCAGCCACCAACUGACCAAGCACACAAGACAUCGUGAGGCUGCCUGCUGGAGCCUGGCCAGUGGGACUGUAGAGUAACUCAUUGUCGUGCAGGAACUCCUGGGAUGGUGUUGCCCAGUGACACAAUCCCAGUGUGGCCAUUUCUGAUCCCGAGAAAGCAGUCAGGAGUGGGUGGAUGCAGUUACAGUUCAUCAAGUCCUGCUAGUUCAAGUCAUGAGUCCUGAAUUCUCCAGGAGGAGCCACUAAAGAAAUGCAGAAGCAGGCAAUCCUUGCAAUAAGGCCAGCAAACUGCCAGUGUGAAGGAUGCCCAGGUAACCUGCCCAUGCCAGAACGGCCAGGAGAUGGUGGAACCAGAAUCUAAGCCCACGCCCAUCUGACCUCAAAGUCUGUGCUCCUGAGGUUCGCACCG